GGUGAGUUGUCCGAGUGGUUGAAGGAGCCUGCCUCGAAAACAGGUGUACUGCAAGGUACCGGGGGUUCGAAUCCCUCACUCACCG
Molecule: transfer RNA, 85 nt
Filed under: Bacteroidales bacterium
Lineage: Bacteria; Pseudomonadati; Bacteroidota; Bacteroidia; Bacteroidales
Description: tRNA-Ser
Rfam family: tRNA
About the family: Transfer RNA (tRNA) molecules are approximately 80 nucleotides in length.
Source: RNAcentral